RNAcentral lists this long non-coding RNA (11164 nucleotides) under Cricetulus griseus (Chinese hamster). RNAcentral describes it as "lncRNA (ENSCGRG00015035025.1)". The record is from RNAcentral. Lineage: Eukaryota; Metazoa; Chordata; Mammalia; Rodentia; Cricetidae.
CUUGUUUCCUCUUUAAAGGUCUCUAUCAACUUGCUGAGAUAAUUUUUGAGGUCCAUCUCAUCUUCAUGCUCUGUGUUGGGCUUUUCAGCUCUUGCUGGAGUGGAGUCCCUAGAUUCUGGUGGUGUCAUAUUGGUCUUUCUGUUGUUGAGUGAAAUCUUAUUCUGUCUUCUCCCCAUAUCUUCUUUUAGUGGGUGCAGGUGUGUUCUCUCUAUCUCCUCUUGUGGCCCAGUGGUGUGUGGGGGCUAGGAAUUCAAUGUCCACAGGUCUAGAUGAUCUCGAUGCUCCUGGUAGUCUCCUCACUAGUUCCUAGAUCCUCGGUCAUUCAGCGGAAUGGAAGAGUGGGAUGCUAGCAGAUUUGGGGCGCAGGGAGCUCCUCCCUGCCUGGGUGUGUCUGGCCCAAGCCCGCAGGCACAGGCGGGGGUGGGGGGAUGGGGGUGGUGGGGUGUAUGCUGUUCUGGCCUGGGGUUGGGAGCGGGCAGAAACUCACUCACCUAGUUCCAGGUCAGUCGGCGGCGGAAUCGUGACUGUAAGAUCUUGAAAGAGCCACCUCCUGAGGGAUGUUGCCUCCCACAGUGAGCUGGACCCUGUUACAUCAAUUAACAAUCGAGAAAAUCCCCACAGAUCAAUCUGAUCUAGGGAAUCCCUCAGUUUAGGCAGGCUGUGCCUCACUAAAGCUAUCUAGGACAGAGUCCAACAUAUGUAAAAUAGUAAUUGCCACAGUGUAUUAGUUACACCUCCUUCCCUUUGCCUUUAAAAGGGGAUAUGGCAUUUUCAAAAAUAACUGUUGGUGAGAUUUGAAGAAAUUCACACAUGUACAUUGUUGGAGGGAAUCUAGAAUGAUGCUGUGUGUGGAACAUAAUUCUGGCAGUGCCUCCAAAAGCUGAAUGUAGUAUUAUCAUAUGACCUAUAAGUUCUGUGCAGAUGUACUCCAUGAGCUUUGUUUAUAAAAAUUGCACAUGAUUAUACAUAAUUAUUCACAUUGUGCAUUUUUUUAAAUACAGGGUUUCUCUGUAGCUUUGGAGCCUGUCCUGGAACUCCCUCUGUAGACCAUGCUGGCCUCAAACUCACAGAGAUCCUCCAAUCUCUGUCUCCUGAGUGCUGGGAUUAAAGGUGUGUAUCACCACCUCCUGGCUCACAUUAUACAUCCUUAUUCCUAAUAGUAAAAAUUAUGGCUACAACCCAAAUGUUUAUCAACUGGUGAAUAGUUAGAUAAAAUAUGGUAUGUAUCGUAUACUGGAAUUUUCAACUGCAGAAAGGAUAUAAGGAGUGAUAAAUACCACAAAAGGAUAAACACAAAACACAUUGUACUAAGUGAAAAAAGGCAACCACAAAACUCUACUUACUGUAUGCACUCAGCUGUAUGAAAUGUUCAGAAUAGACAAAUCUAGAGACAGUAGACCUUUGGUUUCUUAGAAAUAGAUGAAUUGGAGUUUACAGAAGGUCAUAGCUAAAAGGCACAGGCAACUUCUAAGGGUGAUGGAGUUAUCCUUUAAUUACCUGGUGGUAAUGUCUGGACCACUUUAUGAAUAUAGCAACAACUACAUACUUGAACACUUUAAAGAGGUGAAAUUUACACUAUGAUUAUUAUAUUUUAAUUAAUUAAACUUUCUGGAAGAGACAAUACUUGUCUAAAUGAACAGUUUAACGGUUUGGAUAAGAAUGGCCCCCAAAGGCUCAUAGAUUUGAAUGUUUGAGAAUGGCAUUAAUUAUUUGAAAGGACUAGGAGGUGUGGCCUUCUUGGAAGAAGUGAGUCAUUGGGAGUGGGCUUUGAGGUUUAAAAAGCCCACAGCAGGCCCAGCAUGGCUCUAUUUUCCUGCUGUCUGCUGAUGCAGGUUUAGAACUCUCAACUACUUUUUUCCAGCACCACGUCUGCUUCUCACCCAACAGGCUCUUUGCCAUGAUGACAAUGGAUUAAACCUCUGAAUUGCAGACUAGCCCCCAGCUAAAUGCUUUCCUUUAAAAGAGUUGUCAUGGUCAUAGUGUCUCUUCACAGCAAUAGAGCACUGACAAAGAUAAACAGCAAGUUCAUAUUUUUAAUAGUACACACAGAAACUUUACAUUUACAAGGUGCUUAUCACAGUGACCUGUAUGCAGAGGGACUUUCAGUGGAGGGAGACCUGAGCAGGCGGGAGACCAGUGAGGAAAUGAGAUUUUUCAAAAACAUAAAAUUUAAUAUUUAAAGUGAUUUGUAGCUUUAAUACUUUAUAUUGAAAUGUAAGCCAUAUGAGUAUAUUAUUUUAUUAAAAAUAGGAAUAAAAGCCAUAUAUCUUGCAUUUGGGGAUUUUCUUAUGUGAUAAUGAAGGUUAAAUGCAGGGUUUCACACUUCUCUACCAAUGAGCUACACAUCUAGCCUCUCCAUCAUUUUUACUUUUUUUCUGAGUCAGAUUCUUGCUAAGUUCACUAGACUCUCAUCUGAACUUCUUCAGAGGCUGAGAUUAUAGAUGCGUCUCACCAUGCUCAUUAUGUUAGAAUUUUAUCCCAGUUAGCUUGGUCUCCUAGAUGUGAGAAAUUGAGUACACAUAUACUGUUUGUUUUGAGAAACUUGAUUAAUUAUUAGUUUCCUUUACUACUUACAAUGCUUAGUUUACAUCCUGGGGAACCCUUUCUCUUAAGGAUGCAGGGUUUUCUAAAACUGAUUUUUCUUCUUUAUUUAUUUGUUUUACCUAUAUUGAAUAGAAACAAGUUCAAAUAAUAAAUAUUUAUGUAUGUGUAUGUAUAUGUGUGUAUGCAUAUGUAGACAUGAUUAGUGAAGCAAAAUAGUUUCACAUAAUAUUCUUACACUCUUUUAAAUUCUCCAAAAAAGUAGGAGAUACACUUGUAUAUACACAAACAUACAUACACAGAUUAACUCAUAGUAAGUAUGAACAUUUUAACAUCUUAGGAUUCUCACUUUUAGAAAAAUACAGCAUGUUCCUAUUUGCAUGUAAUAUCAAGCAUGUUUUUUACCCAAAAAGCAAUUCUGUCUUGUCUGGGAGACAAAUGAGUCCAAAUCUUCAGCUUAGCAUUUUAUGUCUCUUACUGAAAACUUCUUGACAAGGUCAGAAACUCCUGGUUCUGAGUAUCUCAAACCUGUUUGUCUCCACAUUCAUCACAUGACAGAACUGAAUGAGUUCCAGUUUGGGCAUCUGGACUACUCAUGGAAAUUUUAUCUUGGAAGGCCAGCAAUUACCUACACACAGAAAGAUGAUAGGUGUCCACACUAAAAUAUCCCACUAAGUCCUAGCUAAAUGUGUAUCUAAGUCCACUGUCAUCUAAGCCAGAUCUUUGGGACACUUCUGGCCAUUCCAGUACCACCCAAAAAGAUGAAAAAGUGAAGAAGGAAUACAAUCACAGAAAGAAAAAGGAUUUAUCCAUGUGAAUUACUUCUGGAGCUUCUCUUGGCUUUGCAAGAGGCCUAUGCAAGCUAGGAGUCUAAAGCUCAAGGUUCCUUAUUUCCUGGCCAACUCUUCCCUGUUUAUUCCUUAUAAUUAGAAAUGUUAACAAAAACAUGGUAUGCAAUAGUUACUCUGUACUGCACAUAUUGGUAGUAUCUAAAUUUUAUAGUUUGAUGCAUUUGGUACUGAUGCAUAUAUGCAUCCUCUAUAUCUCUUAGAAAACAUGCUGAUCAGUGAGAUGACUCAGCAGGGAACAGCUUGCCAACAAGCCUAAUGACCUGAGUUCAAUCCUUGGGGCCCACAUAGUAGGAGAAAACCAACUUCCCCAAGUUGUCCUGAUUUCCAUAUGUGUGCUGAGGUGUGCACAUGCCUUCCACAAAAUAAAUGAGUGAAAAAAUAAUUCCAGCAUUCAGGAGGCAGAGGCAGAGAACUCUGUGAGUUCAAGGCCAGCCUGGUCUACAGAGUGAGUUCCAGAACAACUAGGACUAUUUCACAAAGAAACCCUUUCUUGAAAAACCAAAACAAACAAACAAACAAAAGAAGUGUAACUUUCGGGUGUCUGUGUCGUGUAUGUGUGUGUAUGUGCAGGUGGGCAAGUGUGUAUGUACAAGCAUACAAAGGUGAGAAGUCCAUAGGUAUCUCCCUUAAUAUUGCCCACCAAUUCAUCAAGACUAAUUGGCCAAGAGCUUAGGGAGGGUCCUGUUUCUGCCUCCACAGUACUGUUAUUACAGAUGCUCACCACCACAAUGGGAAUCCAGACUCGACCUCUCAUGCUUACACUGCAAGCACAUUACUGGCCGGGCCAUCUCAUCAACCCCCACAACAGGUGAUUCAUGACACCUAUAACCUGGAUAUGUUUUUUGGAAAGUUAAAUGUGUAUGAGAAAAUGUUUAACUAUGUAGUAGCCAACUUAUAAACAGUAUCUAUAGCAUCCUGUUACUCAUCAAACCUCCCCAUUAGAAGUGCUGAAUGUCAGGCUAGGAUACAGCACAGUUAGAGGGCUUUUGUAGCAUGUGCAAGGUCCUGGUGUGAUUCCCCCCGCAAAGCAAAACAAUACAAAACAUGAAAUAUGCUUUCUUGUGAAAUCUUUUUCGUAGUACAACAAUGAUAAAAGCUGUGUCUUUUAAAUUCCACUUGUUGAGUCAUGCCUUCACAAACAGUAUUUGAGGUAAAGCUGUGAGUCUCAACAUUAAAUAAUUCCACCACAUUUUCCUCCAUUUUAAUUUAUUUACUUUUAUUUUCUUUUUUGGUGCAUGUUCAUACUGUAUGUGUGUAUAUGUGGAUGAACGUGGAUGGAAUUGUGUGUGCAUGCACGCGAGGUCCAGAAGUCAGUGUGAAGAGUCUCCCACUAUUACCCUCACCUUAUCUUUUGAGAUGGUGUCUCUCACUGGUCACUGAUUGGCUACUAGGCAGGUCACUGAGCUCUAGGGAUCCAUCUGUCUCUUUCUAAAGGCUCACACCACCUCAGCCUUUAUGGAAGUGUCAGGCAUCUGAACUCCUGUCCUCAUGUUUACACAGUAGGCAUUUCACUGACUGAGACAUCUCACCAGCCCUUGAGUAUUUUUAGAAGAAAAUUUCCCAGUAAUGACUUUAGUAAAAACAAUAACAGGAGCAACAAAAUGACAACAAAAAGUCAAAAUCUUCCAAAUAGAACUAUUUUUCCUCAUUUAAAAAUAUUUCUGGUACUCACAAUUGCAUAGUUUAACAGCCAUGUGACUCUACCAUAAGGAAGACAUACUCUUGGUACUAAAAGAAGAUACCAAGAGGGGGGAUGAUUCUUCUGGAGGAAUUCAUUCCCUUUGUGGAUGAAAAUCGCUUUGAGAACAGGCAUACCAAUUUGUGUAGGUGUAUUUAAAACAGUAUUAUCGUAUCACUAUAACUUACUGGAGAAUAUGUGAGUUGGCAGUCAGUGUAUUCAAUAUUCUAAGUUUAGUAUUCUCAAUGUGAUUGGGUAGAUCAAAACAUAAAUUUGGGAUUCCAAGGAAUGAACUCUUGGGUAGCAAAAUUAGAUUAAUGGCCAUUUUUAAAUUGAUAAGCAUAAUAUAUCUGAUUUGCACAUCCUAACUGUAUGAUAAUGUUUACAUGUGACUCAUCCUAUUCCAUAUAAAUGAGUAAUGUUAUUUAUGCAAAUUACCAAGGACAUUGCCUAGCACAAAGGAAAUAUGUUAGCAUGUUAAUGCAACCACUUCCUUCCAGUUAAAUUUAAUAAAGACACUAGUUAGAAAUCAUUAUAUCCAAAGUUAUGCUGGACUGUCUAAGAAAAUAUAUCUGUUUAACUUAUUUAAGUAUAAAUGUAGGUCAUGAUUUUAAGAUCCAUUCUAACAAAUAUACAUUUAGGUUUCAGCCUAUGAGAAGCAAGAAGAAUACUAUCUAAAAGAUUAUGAAUUCUCUUUACUUUGAGGAGUUUAUAGCUUUUUGCCAUAAUUUGUGGGUAAAACUGUAAAGUAGGCCUAUGCUGUAACUAAAUUUGGAGGCAGUCAUACAGCGAGACCUGGAGUGUCCAGACAGAAUGUGGGCUGAACUCUUUCUGAGUGGACAGAGCAUCUGGGCAUCAGUGAUAGAAUCUUCCUUACAGGAGAAAUGUUUAAUUCAACUUGAGACUUUAGGAAAGUUGUCUAAGAUAAACAAGAGCUUGACAGGUCUUUCACUUCCCAGGAUCAGGAAAUUGAAUGAGAACCCAAGAUCUAAAGUCCCUGUGUCAGCUGGGACUUGGGUCUGAGAAGAGCUGGGACUGGUAAUAUGGGCUGGAUGAACCUUAUAUUCAGAGAACUAGGAAGGUUUGUUCUUUCAAAUUUACUAAAUUUCUGUCUCUUUUCUUUCUUUCUGUGUUGCUUGAGAUGAAACCGAACUAUCCUGUGUGUGUUAAAGAAGUGCUAUAAACAGAGUGAGUUCUCCAGCCUUUGUUUUUAAGACAGAAUCUCAUUUUCAGCCCAUACUGUCCUCAAACUCACAACUCCCCUGUCUGUCUCUGAGUCCUAGGAUGACAGGUGUGCACCAACACACCAGCUCUAAAACUCUCUUAUCUGAUGUCCGUUGUUCAUACAUUCAAGGAAUUCCUUCAAUCUAGUAUGGUGCAUCUUAGCAAUUUCAAGUUCAGAAGGGUCGACUAUUUCACAUUUUCAUAUUGAAUAAACCUUGCCCUAUGCUCAUUAGAUGACAAUUUCCCAUUUCUUCCUCCCCUAACUACUGGCAACUCCCAUUGUUGGGAGAUAUUCGAUCACACUGUGAACCCCAAGUUUGUGUUUGCAUUAAAUGAAAUCAACCUUGGAUCAGGAGGCCAAGUUAGCAACUAGUUGACAGAAAGUAAUCAUAGAGAGUCAUAGGGUGUCUGUAAGAUGAUAGACACACAGGAAGUAAUAGGGAGGAACUUAGUGUAGCGUUCUUUUGGGUUGGCGGAGUAGGUGGAACCUCUCUUUUUGAGACACCAGCAAAGAGAGAAGGCCAGCUAGUUGCUACUCAACCUCUCUGAGCUAGCAGGUUUUCACCCCAGCCUUUGACUCCAAGUCUUAUUGUUAAAUAGAAUGAUAGAGAUUUAAUCAAAAGCUAUAUAAUCAGCAGUUAUAUAGCCAGUGCUUGCAGGAACAGAAUUCUCACCAGGCAGUGGCCUAAGCAGCCAGGCCAAUGCCAGAGAAGCAGGCCAGUAAUCCCAGAGCCUCAUUAGCUGGAUGAAACAACAGAUUAAAGCACAGCCUCUGCAAUGAUGGAAAACAACAUCCCAGUCUAGUUUUUCCUAUGAAUUUGACUAUUUCAGAGGCUUCAUGUAAGUGACAUCAUAACACAUUUUAUAUUGUGCCUUGUUGUCCUUCUGGGUCAUCCAAGUUGUAAAAUAACAUUAGAAGUUCUUCAUUCUUAUGGCUGAACAACAUUCCACUGUAUGUGUAUAUUUUGCUUUUUUCCUUUAUCUAUUUUGAUGGACAUUUGGAUGGCUUUCAGCACUGGGCUGUUGGGAUGCCACUACAUUGAAUAAGGAUACUAAGCUAUAUGUUCAAGUUUUCAUUACAAUUUUUUUGGAUAUAUGACCCGAAGUGGAAUUUUUAUAUCACAUGGUAAUUCUACACUUCUUUACUUCUUUCUUUCCUUUGAGGAACUUCUAUAUUAUUUUUCAUAAUGACCAUGUUGUUUCACUUUCUCACCAGCAGUUCAUAAACAUCCCAGCCUCUCAUGACCCUGUUGCUUUGUUACUAAUCUUCUGUUUUAUUCUUUUUUAGGGACCUUCACCAGCAGCAUGUUUUGUGGAUGUAAGAGUUCUGGGAAUGGUAGAAUCUUCAUAAGUUCCUUUGCUAGUUAAUUUCAUUUUUGUUUCCUUUUUUGAGGGUGGGAGCAAGGACAGUGUUAGAGAUUGACAGUGCUUGAACAAAAACACAGAGCAAAUAGAGUUGUUGUUGUUUUUUUUCAGUCACACUUUGACUAUAUAUUGGUGUCAGUGAGCAGGAUGACCCCCAUGCCCCAAGGUUCCUAGAGGAAGAGGGAAACCUGCUGCCACUGCCUACCCUGUUGGGCCGCUGAGAGACAUCGGAGCAGGUUCCAUACGCUCGAGCAGUCUCUGUGCUCUUGGGGGUUGGACUCUGGCACUCCCGAGAUGGCCUGCAGCUCUUGAGGGUUCUAGGGUUAGGAUUCUGAGCUCUCACCACCACAAGCUAUCUUCGUGCAACUAGUCGAACAGUGGCAGAACCUGGGCAGCUGGAGGUAGUGUUACGAGCUUUCAUGUAAACUUCACAAAAACUUAAAAAUGAAUUUUAGCAGCAAAAGAUCAGAGACAAGCACGACUUCUUGCUAGCAUCAUUUUCUUGGGUGGUCUCUGUUUUGCUAGAGACAAGCAAAGACUCGAGUGGUUGCUUUAAGAGAGAUUUCCUGACUCAGCAAAAGCAGAAAAAAACUGCAGGACUCUUUAAGAGGCCCCUCUAGCUCAGUUGGCAGAGCAUGAGACUUUUGAUGUGGGUUCCUGCCCUAUGCAGCUGGCAGUGGCAGUGACCACAUCUCCAAGGCGGCAGCGUGCUCCUUGAAAGAUAUCGGCUAAGAAAGCUGCCACUUUAAUUUUUGUGGUGUUGUUUAACAGUUAAAAGACUGCAUGUCCAGAAGAAGGUAAAGAUUUACAAUAAAGACAGAUCCAGAUAAAGAAAAACCUCUGAAGUGUUUAAAAAUAUAUGUAGGCUUGUGAGAGAAAAAGUAACAGGAGGAAAUAGAGUAGCUGGGUGUGGGGGCACUCACCUUUAAUCCCAGCACUCCCAAAGCAGAGGCAGGCAGAUUUCCACAGAGAAACCCUGUCUCAGGAAAAAUGAAAGAAAAGGAAGUAAAAAUAGAAAAAUAGAAAAGCCACCCAAAGAUGAAAAAUACACAGAGAGUCUGGAUACUAUAUGCUAUAUUGUCUUUAAAUUGUUUGAUUGCCGAGGAAAGAGUUUCUGCUACUAAAAUACAUUUGAUUAUAAAUACAGCUAAAUUAAUCCAACUUAUACAUUUUAAAAAUGCUUUGACUUCAAAAUUUAAGUCUAAGGACAGGCUACUUGAAAAAAAAAGUUUUUGCUUGUGUUUCCACAGAAAAUCAAAAGCUGUGGAUUCCUUCCAGACUAAUAUGGUUUGAUCAAGCAAGACCCCUGAAGCUGAGAUGAUACAGUCUUACAGACUAUGAAAACAAGGACUUGGUCGAAUUUCUGUGUUUUAUCAUGAUCCCUAUGGUAUGGACAUCACCCCCAAUCAGCAGGAAGCAGUUUGGAAUGAACUACGCCUAAAUUCCCAAAUAUUGUUUAUAAAUGUUUGUUUUCAUUUAAAUGGAGUUGGUUAUAAAUGAUAAUGAGCAUAGUCAAUCUCUUUUCUUAAAAAAGGGGGGAUAUAGGAUAUAGGAAUGAAUACUUUGCAUUGAUAUGGACUUUCAUUUAUUGAUGCAACUUUAAGAUCAAUUUUGUGAUAUGUAUAUGUCUCCUCUUGUUUAGAUAUUGUGUUUAUACAGAUCUUUUAAAAUGAUAUACAUAAUUAAAUACAGGUUAUAUAGUUAUCUAUAAUAGUCAGAACUUAUAAUUAGGUUAGUUAGGUUUUCUAGAUAUACAGAGAUGUAUUUGAGAUGGAUAGGUAUUCUUUAAUUAAAUCUUUCAAAGACCGACAGAAUAUAUGGCAUUUAAAUGGUUUAGGGUUUUUCUUGGCAGUGAGACACAACUGCUCCUGGCACACCAAUUACAUCAGAAAGGAGGAUGGGCAUCGAAGAAACUCGUUAUGGAGUUUGCUUUCAACAUGGCAAGAUUAGCCAUUUGGGCAAGAAACUACUCUUGCCUGGAUUGUUUGUUGCUGUAUAAACUGGACGUGCAGGACCCACAAGAAAGUGACUGCUGAACUUACAAAACAAGACAGUACUGAAGGGUCCUGUUGAAAUGCAGAAGUGUGCCAGACACACAGCAGAUGUGGUGCUGGAGCUCAGAGUCCUACAUCUUGACUCAGAGGCAACAGGAAGUCAGCUGGCUGUCACACUGUGGGAAACUUGAGCAAAAGAGUCCUUACAGCCCACCCUCACAGUGACACACUUCCUUUAAGAAGGCUACAACUCCCAAUAGUGCCACUCCCUUUGGGGGCCAUAUUCUUUCAAACCACCACACUUGGGUGCAGCUUCCCUGUCAUAUAUAGAAGACACAGCCUCACAGCAGACAUCCUGUCUCUCUGGCUUUUACGAUCUUCUUAAUGCUUACAGAAGGCAUGCAAAACCUUGCAUCUAUUCCAUCUCUAGAUGUAUCUCUGCUUCAGCCAAACCUCAUUACACACUGUUGCUUUCCAGUGUCUUAUCAGCCAUGUGUUUAAGUGCUUCACCCUGAUUAGAACACACUUCCUGUCAUGUAACAUGAAAAAUAAAAAGCCCCAGAGACUGAUAUUGGGGUUCAAACUUCAAGCUGAAGAUCAGAAAAGAAAAGCAGCCAAUCCUAGCUUUUACCUUUACCUCAGGCUGAAAAGGCUGAUCCUGCUGCCUCUCCUCAGAGUGACUGGAGAUUCCUGAGACUGAAUGUCCUCCUAUCCUCAAUGUGUCUGGAGGAUGAAUUCUCAAUACUGAGACCUUGCUCCUGUCUUAUAUACCUCUCAUGAGUUCCAGGAUUAAAGAUCAGUGUAGGAGCAGGCCGAGUUUCGUUUCCAAACAUUCAUUCCAAAUAUGCAGCCCCAAAUCCAGAAGAGCUGCUUAGAGAUGGUCGGCAUGUACUCUAAGGAGGAGACCACUUGACAGUACCUGGUCAGGCAGCAAGCAUGGGAUGAAUACAGGCUGGGCUCCUGACAGCGCACUGGAGAAAGAGCACAGGACCAUGCACGUGGCUCAUUUUUACUGUUUAUGAAUUUUUUGUUUAUGAGGCUGAAAUCACAAGCAGAAAGCUGUUUCUAACUCCUCUAGGCCUCCCUCCACAGAAGGAGUGUCACUUUCUAGAACGGUGCCAUUCCAGUUGGCUGAGGGCUCUAUCUAGUCAUUUCAGUUCAUUGAGAAACAUAGAUGAAACCUGAUGGGUUGCAGUAUUACUUUUUGUUGAAUGAUGGGCUCAGGAUUUAGUCAUUAAAGUGGUAUCAUGUCAUAUCAGAAAACUUUCUCAAUGCAUUUGUGUAGUAAUAAAGUAACCUAUAAAACUAUGACUGAUGGGAUUUCCGUAAAAAUGACAUGAAUUUUACAGCAUACAAAAGGGAAUUUGGCAAUGAUAAUCUGUAAAUGAUACAGAUUUCUGUCUUUAAGUUUUUCUUUUUGUAUUUCUGUAUUUUCAAAAAUAUUUUCAAAAUAGAUGUUUCCUUUUAAAAACUUAAUGAAUUAAUAAAAUUAUGCACAAUAAAAUCUCUUC